CAGAAUUCCCAUAAAUGACAGACUUGGUACCCAAUACGCGUCCAGGCGACAUACUUCUUACUCAAUGUGCCUAGAGGCUAGCCCCAUCCACGCAAUUUCGUGCUCGCUUUUAGCUCACUCAAUAACCAUACCAACAUUAACUCUCUCCUGUAGUUUUACAGAAAUAAUGGAUACAUCAACAUCCUGCUAAUAAAUGGUGCUCGCAUCAAAUGCUAUUCACAUCCCAAUGACUACAUAGAGACAACUGAAAAAUGCCGCUAACAUCAAAAGCAAGCAACAAGCUUUCUGGGGUCUAAAGACAAUACCCUCAUCUUUGUUUACAGAAAACGCGAUUUUUAAACAAGCAACAGGAAUAGUCCAACUCUCAUGGAUGAUAGAACAUUAACAAAUAGGGUUCGAAACCAAAACAAGAUACCUCACCAGUUGCCACAGGGUUUCACCAAACCCACAUAAAACUGAGUCAAAUCAACCAUUAACAACCCCCAAGCUUUCUUUUCAGAAGCAAUACGGCAGUUUAGCCCAACAUCCAUACAAAAUUAAGCUACUGGUUCUAUCAAACAAAAUUUAUAGAUUAUCCGCCAACAGAAUCUCAGUUGCUCAACUAUUUUCAUGCAGUGUUAUUUCAUAACAAGACAUAUUUCUAUUUGUCAAAUAGAGCAUCAAAACAACAACCCGGAGCAAAUCUAUCACAGAUACACUAUAAUAACACAGCAAUUCACCAAUCAAAAAAAGAAACUAAAAUUAAAAUUUUUCAAUUCCUUCUUAAGCACAUACAACAAUACCCUUAAAAGGAGAAUUUCUUUGUCUAAACUUAUAAUAACAAAAA
Populus euphratica (Euphrates poplar) is the source of this 826-nucleotide long non-coding RNA. RefSeq lists it as uncharacterized. Lineage: Eukaryota; Viridiplantae; Streptophyta; Magnoliopsida; Malpighiales; Salicaceae. The transcript has 2 exons. The record is from RefSeq and is a predicted model, not a curated record.